This 291-nucleotide ribosomal RNA is filed under the name uncultured bacterium. Its description in RNAcentral is "partial 16S ribosomal RNA". It matches the Rfam family "Bacterial small subunit ribosomal RNA", at positions 506 to 796 of the family's 1533-position model. The record is from RNAcentral.
UGCCAGCARCCGCGGUAAUACGUAGGGUGCSAGCGUUAAUCGGAAUUACUGGGCGUAAAGCGUGCGCAGGCGGCCUGAUAAGUCAGAUGUGAAAUCCCCGAGCUCAACUUGGGAACUGCGUUUGWAACUAUCAAGCUAGAAUAUGUCAGAGGGGGGUAGAAUUCCACGUGUAGCAGUGAAAUGCGUAGAGAUGUGGAGGAAUACCAAUGGCGAAGGCAGCCCCCUGGGAUAAUAUURACGCUCAUGCACGAAAGCGUGGGGAGCAAACAGGAUUAGAUACCCUGGUAGUCC